This 482-nucleotide ribosomal RNA is filed under the name uncultured bacterium. RNAcentral describes it as "partial 16S ribosomal RNA". It matches the Rfam family "Bacterial small subunit ribosomal RNA", at positions 30 to 507 of the family's 1533-position model. The record is from RNAcentral.
UGACCGCUGGCGGCAUGCUUUACACAUGCAAGUCGAACGGCAGCGCGGGCUUCGGCCUGGCGGCGAGUGGCGAACGGGUGAGUAAUGCAUCGGAACGUGCCCAGUAGUGGGGGAUAGCCCGGCGAAAGCCGGAUUAAUACCGCAUACGACCUGAGGGUGAAAGCGGGGGACCGAAAGGCCUCGCGCUAUUGGAGCGGCCGAUGUCGGAUUAGCUAGUUGGUGGGGUAAAGGCUUACCAAGGCGACGAUCCGUAGCUGGUCUGAGAGGACGACCAGCCACACUGGGACUGAGACACGGCCCAGACUCCUACGGGAGGCAGCAGUGGGGAAUUUUGGACAAUGGGGGCAACCCUGAUCCAGCCAUGCCGCGUGCGGGAAGAAGGCCUUCGGGUUGUAAACCGCUUUUGUUCGGGAAGAAAUCCUCUGGGCUAAUACCCCGGGGGGAUGACGGUACCGGAAGAAUAAGCACCGGCUAACUACGUG